This 220-nucleotide non-coding RNA is filed under the name Synchroma pusillum. Lineage: Eukaryota; Synchromophyceae; Synchromales; Synchromaceae. The record is from RNAcentral.
CAGCACCGCAGGCUGCGGCGCGCCCUGGCGGACGGGGAGGCCGCGGAGGUGGGCGCCUCUGCGGCGCCCGCGGCCAAUCCCAUCCUCUACAACCUCACGCCGCUGCGCUUCGUGCUGCACGUGCUGCGGGGGAUCAAGACUCCGGAGCUUGAGCAGGCGCUGCUCGUGCUUCCAUUCCACUACGUGCAGCGGCUCAUGUCCUACCUGACGCGCCUGCUGG